UUAUCCUACGGGGCGCAGCAGUAGGGAAUCUUCCACAAUGGACGAAAGUCUGAUGGAGCAACGCCGCGUGAGUGAAGAAGGGUUUCGGCUCGUAAAGCUCUGUUGGUAGUGAAGAAAGAUAGAGGUAGUAACUGGCCUUUAUUUGACGGUAAUUACUUAGAAAGUCACGGCUAACUACGUGCCAGCAGCCGCGGUAAUACGUAGGUGGCAAGCGUUGUCCGGAAUCACUGGGCGUAAAGGGCGCGUAGGCGGUAAUAUAAGUCAGAUGUGAAAGGUGGGGGCUCAACCCCUAGAGUGCAAC
RNAcentral lists this ribosomal RNA (301 nucleotides) under uncultured bacterium. RNAcentral's name for it is "bacterial SSU rRNA". It matches the Rfam family "Bacterial small subunit ribosomal RNA", at positions 334 to 627 of the family's 1533-position model. The record is from RNAcentral.